AAAUCUACGGUCUCAAAGUAGACCCGAGAAGGGGCGGGGCUAAAACACCCAUGCCAACAGUUCCAGCGUUCAUUUUACUAGCACCAACUACGUACGAAUCUACUCCACAGGAACCUUGGCGAAUUAAGCUGCUUCAAAUGAAGCAAGCCUUUCCCUGCUACCACGACUUGUCCAAAGCAACAACUUUGAUGUUACCCUGCAGGCCUGCACAAACAAAACGCCAUAAGAACCGACGGCACAGCUGCGAAGCAAACAGUCGAUGCUUGAAUAAACAUUACAUGAUAGUAUCAAUCCUAGUGGAAAGAGUCAUGCUUGAAUACCAUCACACGAUACCAUCAAUCCUAGUGGGUUCAUCUUGACCCAGUCCUUGUCAAAUAUACCUAAGAUAGGAGUACUGAUCAGCUUGAUGUACACAACAGUAUGCAUUUUUACUAUAUUUACCAAGACAGAACAUGUCUUAAGCGACCGUCGGUGUCAUGAUCUACAUUUUAAAUUACUACAUCACAUCAAUUCGGCCAUGCCACAGACACAUACCCAACUCAUCUUCUAAAUAAUGAGAAAAUUCAGUGAAGUAGGGUAUAUAAACUACCUAGAUAAUAUGAAACUACUACGCAAGAAUAAGAGCAUUCAUAGAGCUCUGCUCUACUGCAUACAGAACACAAGCAAAAUAAAUAAUGCAUCAAUUCAGUGCACAAAUCACAAACUUGGCUUACAUCAUCAAAGAAUGUUAAAAGACCCGUAAAAAAAAAGGCUAUCAAUAUAUUAAACAAUAAAAUACAUAACUAAGAGAUAGAAGUAUUUACCAAAUACUUCACUCCUGGUUACUGGGGGUGCGGAACAACACGCCAGAACUGUAGAUCUCUUGAAAAGCCUCUAGGUGGAACUGCAGAACGCCGGCAAAGGUCUGAAUUAACCGGCACAUAUUAGCUGCCUCACACAGUGAACUUUCUGCUUCAGCAUGUGCUGUUGGGUCCAAGAGCGAGAAGUUGCUCACAACAUGGUCAAAUUCCAAAACACUGGAUCCCAAUAGUAGAAGCGAACGGUUCAGAACUUGAACUGCAUGCUUGGCUUGGGACAAGUUGUUCUUCAUCUCUACUUGCCGCUCAGUCCCCGUCAUAUCUCCAAACUUAGACUCGUACACAAGCAACAGCCCCGUAACGAACGCAGCGGCGGGCACAAGAACUCGAUGGGCCCCCUCAAUCUCAGCCAUCCAGUGCCCAGCACCCAUGAUCGAUCCGGCCUCCCGCCGGCCUUGUACUACCUCAUCUAUUCCUCUGCGCCAUCCCCGACCCAAUCUAGGGUUUCAUGGCUGGAGAGGAGGGAGAGGACGGAUGCAAGAGGGAGAGGAGGGCCGGAGAGGACGAGGGGACGGAUGGGAGGGAGAGGAGGGAGGGGGCGGGUGGGAGAGGGAGAGGAGGGCCGGAGAUCUUACCGGAGUCGCCGCCGCCGGUUGCAAGCUCGCGAUCCCCUGCUGAGCGAGCGAACAGGUACGCGACGGGGGUGUAGGAAUUGGGCCAACUUUUUCUAGCCCAAAUCCUGUACCAUCAUUCCAAACAACGAAAUCUGGGCUGACAAUUUGAAAAUAAUUUUC
RNAcentral lists this long non-coding RNA (1591 nucleotides) under Hordeum vulgare. RNAcentral's name for it is "long non-coding RNA (HVUL_LNC006187)". The record is from RNAcentral. Lineage: Eukaryota; Viridiplantae; Streptophyta; Magnoliopsida; Poales; Poaceae.